RNAcentral lists this non-coding RNA (30 nucleotides) under Rattus norvegicus (Norway rat). The record is from RNAcentral. Lineage: Eukaryota; Metazoa; Chordata; Mammalia; Rodentia; Muridae.
UAGGUGAAUCUAGACAUGUCGGGUGAACUA